GGUUAAGCGACUAAGCGUACACGGUGGAUGCCCUGGCAGUCAGAGGCGAUGAAGGACGUGCUAAUCUGCGAUAAGCGCCGGUAAGGUGAUAUGAACCGUUAUAACCGGCGAUUUCCGAAUGGGGAAACCCAGUGUGAUUCGUCACACUAUCAUUAACUGAAUCCAUAGGUUAAUGAGGCGAACCGGGGGAACUGAAACAUCUAAGUACCCCGAGGAAAAGAAAUCAACCGAGAUUCCCCCAGUAGCGGCGAGCGAACGGGGAGGAGCCCAGAGCCUGAAUCAGCAUGUGUGUUAGUGGAAGCGUCUGGAAAGGCGCGCGAUACAGGGUGACAGCCCCGUACACAAAAGCGCAUGUGCUGUGAGCUCGAUGAGUAGGGCGGGACACGUGGUAUCCUGUCUGAAUAUGGGGGGACCAUCCUCCAAGGCUAAAUACUCCUGACUGACCGAUAGUGAACCAGUACCGUGAGGGAAAGGCGAAAAGAACCCCGGCGAGGGGAGUGAAAAAGAACCUGAAACCGUGUACGUACAAGCAGUGGGAGCACCCUUCGGGGUGUGACUGCGUACCUUUUGUAUAAUGGGUCAGCGACUUAUAUUCUGUAGCAAGGUUAACCGUAUAGGGGAGCCGGAGGGAAACCGAGUCUUAAUUGGGCGUUAAGUUGCAGGGUAUAGACCCGAAACCCGGUGAUCUAGCCAUGGGCAGGUUGAAGGUUGGGUAACACUAACUGGAGGACCGAACCGACUAAUGUUGAAAAAUUAGCGGAUGACCUGUGGCUGGGGGUGAAAGGCCAAUCAAACCGGGAGAUAGCUGGUUCUCCCCGAAAGCUAUUUAGGUAGCGCCUCGUGAAUUCAUCUCCGGGGGUAGAGCACUGUUUCGGCUAGGGGGCCAUCCCGGCUUACCAACCCGAUGCAAACUGCGAAUACCGGAGAAUGUUAUCACGGGAGACACACGGCGGGUGCUAACGUCCGUCGUGAAGAGGGAAACAACCCAGACCGCCAGCUAAGGUCCCAAAGUCAUGGUUAAGUGGGAAACGAUGUGGGAAGGCCCAGACAGCCAGGAUGUUGGCUUAGAAGCAGCCAUCAUUUAAAGAAAGCGUAAUAGCUCACUGGUCGAGUCGGCCUGCGCGGAAGAUGUAACGGGGCUAAACCAUGCACCGAAGCUGCGGCAGCGAACGUAUCACCCAAGACAACUUUACGGAGUUGACGAUUGACGGAGCGAAGCGACGUCAAAGCGUUCAUUAAAGUCGAGUUGGCUUAGGGAUACGUUCGUUGGGUAGGGGAGCGUUCUGUAAGCCUGUGAAGGUGUGUCGUGAGGCAUGCUGGAGGUAUCAGAAGUGCGAAUGCUGACAUAAGUAACGAUAAAGCGGGUGAAAAGCCCGCUCGCCGGAAGACCAAGGGUUCCUGUCCAACGUUAAUCGGGGCAGGGUGAGUCGACCCCUAAGGCGAGGCCGAAAGGCGUAGUCGAUGGGAAACGGGUUAAUAUUCCCGUACUUGGUGUUACUGCGAAGGGGGGACGGAGAAGGCUAUGUUGGCCGGGCGACGGUUGUCCCGGUUUAAGCGUGUAGGUGUGUGUUCCAGGUAAAUCCGGUUCACUUUAACACUGAGGCGUGACGACGAGGCACUACGGUGCUGAAGCAACAAAUGCCCUGCUUCCAGGAAAAGCCUCUAAGCAUCAGGUAACAUCAAAUCGUACCCCAAACCGACACAGGUGGUCAGGUAGAGAAUACCAAGGCGCUUGAGAGAACUCGGGUGAAGGAACUAGGCAAAAUGGUGCCGUAACUUCGGGAGAAGGCACGCUGACACGUAGGUGAAGUGAUUUACUCAUGGAGCUGAAGUCAGUCGAAGAUACCAGCUGGCUGCAACUGUUUAUUAAAAACACAGCACUGUGCAAACACGAAAGUGGACGUAUACGGUGUGACGCCUGCCCGGUGCCGGAAGGUUAAUUGAUGGGGUCAGCGCAAGCGAAGCUCCUGAUCGAAGCCCCGGUAAACGGCGGCCGUAACUAUAACGGUCCUAAGGUAGCGAAAUUCCUUGUCGGGUAAGUUCCGACCUGCACGAAUGGCGUAAUGAUGGCCAGGCUGUCUCCACCCGAGACUCAGUGAAAUUGAACUCGCUGUGAAGAUGCAGUGUACCCGCGGCAAGACGGAAAGACCCCGUGAACCUUUACUAUAGCUUGACACUGAACAUUGAGCCUUGAUGUGUAGGAUAGGUGGGAGGCUUUGAAGUGUGGACGCCAGUCUGCAUGGAGCCGACCUUGAAAUACCACCCUUUAAUGUUUGAUGUUCUAACGUGGACCCGUUAUCCGGGUUGCGGACAGUGUCUGGUGGGUAGUUUGACUGGGGCGGUCUCCUCCUAAAGAGUAACGGAGGAGCACGAAGGUUGGCUAAUCCUGGUCGGACAUCAGGAGGUUAGUGCAAUGGCAUAAGCCAGCUUGACUGCGAGCGUGACGGCGCGAGCAGGUGCGAAAGCAGGUCAUAGUGAUCCGGUGGUUCUGAAUGGAAGGGCCAUCGCUCAACGGAUAAAAGGUACUCCGGGGAUAACAGGCUGAUACCGCCCAAGAGUUCAUAUCGACGGCGGUGUUUGGCACCUCGAUGUCGGCUCAUCACAUCCUGGGGCUGAAGUAGGUCCCAAGGGUAUGGCUGUUCGCCAUUUAAAGUGGUACGCGAGCUGGGUUUAGAACGUCGUGAGACAGUUCGGUCCCUAUCUGCCGUGGGCGCUGGAGAACUGAGGGGGGCUGCUCCUAGUACGAGAGGACCGGAGUGGACGCAUCACUGGUGUUCGGGUUGUCAUGCCAAUGGCACUGCCCGGUAGCUAAAUGCGGAAGAGAUAAGUGCUGAAAGCAUCUAAGCACGAAACUUGCCCCGAGAUGAGUUCUCCCUGAGACUUAGAGUCUCCUGAAGGAACGUUGAAGACGACGACGUUGAUAGGCCGGGUGUGUAAGCGCAGCGAUGCGUUGAGCUAACCGGUACUAAUGAACCGUGAGGCUUAACCUU
RNAcentral lists this ribosomal RNA (2990 nucleotides) under Salmonella enterica subsp. enterica. RNAcentral's name for it is "23S ribosomal RNA". It matches the Rfam family "Bacterial large subunit ribosomal RNA". The record is from RNAcentral. Lineage: Bacteria; Pseudomonadati; Pseudomonadota; Gammaproteobacteria; Enterobacterales; Enterobacteriaceae.